CCCCUUUUCAAUACGCUGUGGAUAUGUUAUAAAUAAUCCGUCAGGAAACUGACUAUAGCGAUAUACGGGCUUCGUAAUAAACCUAUCGGACGCGGGGGCAGCACCCGCCGCCUCCACCAUUUUCUAGCGAACUGAUUAUGGGGGCGACACAGGAUCGACGAGGGCGUAAAGGAUGUAUCCGUCGCUCGGCAUGGCACCACCGUUAGCGGGCUUUAUCGAUAGUUGCAAAUGACAACUACGCGGAGGUAGCAGUCGCUGCGUAAGCAGUGCCUCAGGCCUCAUUUAAGUCCUUGCUCGUCGCAGAGUGAGGCGGGGUUCGGAAGGCACCUGGCAACAGAAGCCUUCCAUU
This 349-nucleotide transfer-messenger RNA is filed under the name Alphaproteobacteria bacterium. It matches the Rfam family "Alphaproteobacteria transfer-messenger RNA". Rfam says of the family: Bacterial tmRNA, also known as 10Sa RNA or SsrA, is named for its dual tRNA and mRNA-like properties. Its role is to liberate the mRNA from a stalled ribosome. Lineage: Bacteria; Pseudomonadati; Pseudomonadota; Alphaproteobacteria. The record is from RNAcentral.